Molecule: ribosomal RNA, 347 nt
Filed under: uncultured eukaryote
Lineage: Eukaryota
Description: SSU rRNA
Rfam family: Eukaryotic small subunit ribosomal RNA
Source: RNAcentral
AUAGCGUAUAUUAAAGUUGUUGUGGUUAAAAAGCUCGUAGUUGGAUCUCGGUUUCGGGUGAAUGGUGCAUCUUGCGGUGUUUACUAUUUACUCGGACGAUUUUGUUAGUUUGUUCCUGGUUCUCUUAACCGAGUGCCUUGAGUGGCUAACACGUUUACUUUGAAAAAAUUGGAGUGCUCAAAGCAGGCGCUACAGCCUGAACAUUAGUGCAUGGAAUAAUGGAAUAGGAUCUCGGUUCUAUUUCGUUGGCUUUCGGAGUCGAGGUAAUGAUUAAUAGGGACAGACGGGGGCAUUCGUACUGCGACGUUAGAGGUGAAAUUCUUGGAUCGUCGCAAGACGAACUACUG